CCCUUAGAUGUCCUGGGCCGCACGCGCGCUACACUGACAUGUUCAACAAGCCUCCUAGUUCGACAGGAUUUGGGAAAUCUUUGAACGCAUGUCGUGAUAGGGAUAGAUCAUUGCAAUUAUUGAUCUUGAACGAGGAAUUCCUAGUAAACGCGAGUCAUCAGCUCGCAUUGAUUACGUCCCUGCCCUUUGUACACACCGCCCGUCGCACCUACCGAUUGAAUGUUUCGGUGAAGAUUCCGGAUAGGACUUUUUUGAUUUAUUUCAAUUUUGUCUUAAAAGCUAUCUAAACCUCAACAUUUAGAGGAAGGUGAAGUCGUAACA
RNAcentral lists this ribosomal RNA (321 nucleotides) under uncultured eukaryote. RNAcentral describes it as "partial 18S ribosomal RNA". It matches the Rfam family "Eukaryotic small subunit ribosomal RNA", at positions 1470 to 1796 of the family's 1831-position model. The record is from RNAcentral.